CUUACGCUUUUUGUCUGGCUUAAUUUCGUUCCCGACCCAUCUACUUUUAAAUGAAGUCCUCACAGUUCCCCACGGUAGAACACAACGUUCUGCCUGAAAAAAACCCAAACCUCAGCUCCCUUAGAGACUCUUGGUGCAUUUGAGAUUUUACCUGCUUGAAAGAGCCAGGAGGACAAAUCAUAUGGAUCUUCUUCUGUCCUGGUUGCUGUGUCGCACAGACAAUGUCUGUAUCCUGGUAGACAAAUGUGGUAACAUGAGUUGCAGCUGAUGGGAAUUGCCUCAGAUGCACAGGUGAAGGCAGUUGUGGGCUCAAGGCUCCAAUUUUAAGAGUGAAUCCCGACUUCAUUGAACAUAAAUAACACAUCCCUGGUUAUCAUUACAUCUGCAUCUCCAUAGGGGAUGCCCAACUUUAUAGCCACAUUUUAGAACAUGAGAAUUCCUUUUUUCCUUUGAGGGAGGUGCAGGGGAAAGAGGAGACCCCAAAUCAGGUGCUGCCUUGGAACAGGCCUGGCACAGCACCCCAGGUUCACAUUUAAGAGCGGGAGUCAGCCUCCAUCACCUGGUUGGUCAUGGUCUGGUCCUUUAAAGCCUCUGCAAAGCCUAGCAAGCAGCUCCUGCUUUUUCUGGAGCUCGAGAGAAGCUGGGAGCCCUGAUGGCCUUGUGCAGCUGGGCUUCCUGAGAAAAUCUGGGACCUGUGCAAGGAAUACAGAUUCAAACUCACCGUGCCUGUUCCUUGUGGGGAAAAUUGUUCCACCUGCCAAAAACCUCAGGAGUUUCAUCUGAUUUUCAUAUUCUCAAGGAAUGACAGCUGGAGAGACCCACUGAGAAGUGAACAAGGAAGAUGGAAGAGCACUGACAGAAACAAUCCCAUUCCUGACACUGUUUCACUUUGCUAUUCCAAGUUUGUUUUCCAAGUCCCUAACAGCUCAAAUUUUAC
Molecule: long non-coding RNA, 937 nt
Organism: Hirundo rustica (Barn swallow)
Lineage: Eukaryota; Metazoa; Chordata; Aves; Passeriformes; Hirundinidae
Exons: 3
Source: RefSeq, a predicted model, not a curated record